UACGAAGGGUGCUAGCGUUGUUCGGAAUCACUGGGCGUAAAGCGCGCGUAGGCGGCGACACAAGUCAGGGGUGAAAUCCUUGGGCUCAACCCAAGAAUUGCCUUUGAAACUAGGUUGCUGGAGUAUUGGAGGGGAUGGCGGAAUUGCUAAUGUAGAGGUGAAAUUCGUAGAUAUUAGCAGGAACACCGGUGGCGAAGGCGGCCAUCUGGCCAAUUACUGACGCUGAGGCGCGAAAGCACGGGGAUCAAACAGG
RNAcentral lists this ribosomal RNA (253 nucleotides) under uncultured bacterium. RNAcentral's name for it is "partial 16S ribosomal RNA". It matches the Rfam family "Bacterial small subunit ribosomal RNA", at positions 524 to 776 of the family's 1533-position model. The record is from RNAcentral.